GGACGAACGCUGGCGGCAUGCCUAAUACAUGCAAGUCGAGCGAACAGAUGAAGUGCUUGCACUUCUGACGUUAGCGGCGAACGGGUGAGUAACACGUAAGGAAUCYACCUAUAAGCGGGGGAUAACAUUCGGAAACGGGUGCUAAUACCGCAUAAUAUYUUCUUCCGCAUGGAAGAARAUUGAAAGACGGCUCUGCUGUCACUUAUAGAUGACCUUGCGGUGCAUUAGUUAGUUGGUGGGGUAAUGGCCUACCAAGACGAUGAUGCAUAGCCGACCUGAGAGGGUGAUCGGCCACAUUGGGACUGAGACACGGCCCAAACUCCUACGGGAGGCAGCAGUAGGGAAUCUUCCGCAAUGGGCGAAAGCCUGACGGAGCAAUGCCGCGUGAGUGAAGAAGGCCUUCGGGUCGUAAAACUCUGUUAUAAGAGAAGAACAAAUUGUAGAGUAACUGCUACAGUCUUGACGGUAUCUUAUCAGAAAGCCACGGCUAACUAC
This 495-nucleotide ribosomal RNA is filed under the name Aerococcus viridans. Its description in RNAcentral is "bacterial SSU rRNA". The record is from RNAcentral. Lineage: Bacteria; Bacillati; Bacillota; Bacilli; Lactobacillales; Aerococcaceae.